AAACUUUCAACAACGGAUCUCUUGGUUCUGGCAUCGAUGAA
This 41-nucleotide ribosomal RNA is filed under the name Trichoderma harzianum. RNAcentral's name for it is "partial 5.8S ribosomal RNA". RNAcentral also lists the same sequence under 9 other names. The record is from RNAcentral. Lineage: Eukaryota; Fungi; Ascomycota; Sordariomycetes; Hypocreales; Hypocreaceae.